Molecule: non-coding RNA, 2033 nt
Organism: Arachis ipaensis
Lineage: Eukaryota; Viridiplantae; Streptophyta; Magnoliopsida; Fabales; Fabaceae
Source: RefSeq, a predicted model, not a curated record
AUUGUUUUCUUUUGUUUUAGAGAUAUAACAGAGAGAACAAUGUAUAUAUUUUGCUUGGUUCUCCACAAAUUUUGAAUCAAAUAUUUUUGUCCUAAUAAAUUUUUAUUAUUUCAAAAUUUUUUACAAAUAUUAUUGUCAGACAAAUUGAUCUUCCCAUUACUUUUAAUAAAGUUUUUGAAGACUAAAGUGUUUCCUUUGAACCAAAAUUUGGUUGAUUACUCUUUCCUAAAUAUGCAAGCAUUUCCAUCUGGUUGGCCAUGAAAGCUUUCAUUUUCUUUCUAGUAUCAUUGUGAAUGAUCUUGGAAAUAAAACAGUUGUGAAAUUACUGAGAACAGUGACAAGGAAUAGUCUCUCACUCUUUCUCUAAUUUAUUUUCUAUUUUUCCCUUUGGAAAAUAAUAGAUUAGGUAUUUCCUUUGCUUGGAAUGUGGAAGAGAGUACAUCUUUGUGUCGUUUUAUUCUUUAUUAUAACAAAUUUCCUCGUGUUCUUUUCUUGUUUGAGAAUUGAGAUUAAUUAAUCACUCUGGUUCAAAACUAUUGCUUCUAUUGUUAUUCAAAUCCUUCAAAAUUUAUUGUUUGUAUCUACACAAUUUUCAUGAUGUGCUGCUACUAGAUCCAUUGAUGAGUUCUGCACUGUUCAUUGCGGUUUUCUUACCUAACAAGGUUGAAGGGUCACUGCUCAUUUUGUAUUGUUGGUAAACUAGUCAUGAUUAAAUUUGUUUGUUGUCAUCUGGUAGAGUAAUUUCUUUUCUAAUGAUAUCUGUUUAUAGGAGAAAGGGUAGUCCCAAAUUCAAAGUAAAAAAACAAAAAAGAAAGGAAUUUCUUCUCUGAUAUUAAAUAAUUUUCUUGUCAGUUCUUUUUAUAUGUAUAAAAUCCAAUCUUAUUGUGUGUGGAUGCACAUAAUUUCUUCUACUUUUUGGGAUUCCCCACUUAGUCUUUCCCAUUGUAUUUUGUAAAGCAAAACUCUGCCAGUAUCAACAAUUGUAUUAACCUUAUUGAUUUAUUGCUUCCGUUGUCUCUCAUUCAAGAGUGAAAGAAAUAUAUAUUUUCUUUAUUUCCUUGAUCUGAUUCUAGAAUAUGUUGCAAUGAUUACUUAUUUUAACAAUUUAUAUGUAUAUAUGGCCAUUUGUAACUAUUUAGUUGGGCCAUGCUGGGGUAGCUAUAGCAUUUGGAUAUCUUAAAUGCUAGCUUGCCUACUUGUGUUAUCUUCUCUCUUUUUUUUUUUUGGGAACAUCAUAACAUCAAGAGUAUCUUUUGAUUUGCACUUCCCAUCAUUUGGUUAUGACCUGCGUUUGGGCUAUGUCUUGGUCACCAUAUUCUUCUGAUGAUUAAAGCUGAAUGCUUUCCUAAUAGGCUUCUGUAUGAUCUAUGAAAGCAUUGAAGAUAGUCUAUAAACAAAAUAAAAUGAUGACGAAGAAGAGAAAACACAGAGGACUGGGGUGAAAGAAAUGCUGAAGGGGAGGGCUACAACAAGGAGAAAAUCCAUAUAGAAGAUGAUUUUACUGAUCCGGAGCCUGAUUAUGAGGAAAGCAAAGCAGAAACGGACUCAACAAUUGGGUAUGUUAAGGUAAAGCCAUUUUCCAAAUGGACCACGAAUAAAUUUUCUUCAGUGCCAUUUUCUUUUUAAUGGGUAGAGCCACAAGGUGGUUGAAGAAAUUUUAGAUAUGUGAUGAAGUGAGUUACCUCUGUGUGCUUUGUCUUCCUUAGAACCUACUACCAACAUUUGUAACAUUUUUUGUGUUCCCUGUGUUUCUUGAAUUUAUUGCUUGGUGAGUCUAUGGUAUGCUCCUAUGUGUCCUUGAGUUCUUUGUUGCUUCUUUCUAGCAUUCAUUACUUCAAUCUUCCAUACUUGCUUCUUUGUCUUCCUAUGUAGAUUUUUUUUUUCUCCUUUUCAAUCUCGGCCAUGCAUGUUAUUGUCAAGCUUAGGAAUCAUGUUUCCCGGUAAGCAAUUCUUCGAUUUCGGAUUGAUGUCUUAACUCUUGCCCAUUUUUUCUUUCUAUUUUUUGUUCGAUAUAAACAUUGAGUUGAUUGUGA